RNAcentral lists this ribosomal RNA (359 nucleotides) under Paenibacillus aquistagni. RNAcentral's name for it is "bacterial SSU rRNA". It matches the Rfam family "Bacterial small subunit ribosomal RNA", at positions 1 to 344 of the family's 1533-position model. Lineage: Bacteria; Bacillati; Bacillota; Bacilli; Caryophanales; Paenibacillaceae. The record is from RNAcentral.
UUUAUGGAGAGUUUGAUCCUGGCUCAGGACGAACGCUGGCGGCGUGCCUAAUACAUGCAAGUCGAGCGGAGUCUUACACUUUCUUCGGAAAGUGUUUGGCUUAGCGGCGGACGGGUGAGUAACACGUAGGUAACCUGCCCAUAAGACUGGGAUAACCCACGGAAACGUGAGCUAAUACCAGAUAGGCAUCUUCCUCGCAUGAGGGAGAUGAGAAAGACGGUUUCGGCUGUCACUUAUGGAUGGACCUGCGGCGCAUUAGCUAGUUGGUGAGGUAACGGCUCACCAAGGCGACGAUGCGUAGCCGACCUGAGAGGGUGAUCGGCCACACUGGGACUGAGACACGGCCCAGACUCCUACGG